RNAcentral lists this ribosomal RNA (803 nucleotides) under uncultured bacterium. RNAcentral's name for it is "bacterial SSU rRNA". It matches the Rfam family "Bacterial small subunit ribosomal RNA", at positions 60 to 855 of the family's 1533-position model. The record is from RNAcentral.
AGUCGAGGGGCAGCAUGAUUGAAGCUUGCUUCAAUUGAUGGCGACCGGCGCACGGGUGAGUAACGCGUAUCCAACCUUCUGUACACUCAGGGAUAGCCUUUCGAAAGAAAGAUUAAUACCUGAUGGUAUGAUGAGAUUGCAUGAUAUCAUCAUUAAAGAUUCAUCGGUGUACGAUGGGGAUGCGUUCCAUUAGGUAGUAGGCGGGGUAACGGCCCACCUAGCCUACGAUGGAUAGGGGUUCUGAGAGGAAGGUCCCCCACAUUGGAACUGAGACACGGUCCAAACUCCUACGGGAGGCAGCAGUGAGGAAUAUUGGUCAAUGGACGAGAGUCUGAACCAGCCAAGUAGCGUGAAGGAUGAAGGUCCUACGGAUUGUAAACUUCUUUUAUAAGGGAAUAAAACCUCCCACGUGUGGGAGCUUGUAUGUACCUUAUGAAUAAGCAUCGGCUAACUCCGUGCCAGCAGCCGCGGUAAUACGGAGGAUGCGAGCGUUAUCCGGAUUUAUUGGGUUUAAAGGGAGCGCAGACGGGUCGUUAAGUCAGCUGUGAAAGUUUGGGGCUCAACCUUAAAAUUGCAGUUGAUACUGGCGUCCUUGAGUGCGGUUGAGGUGUGCGGAAUUCGUGGUGUAGCGGUGAAAUGCUUAGAUAUCACGAAGAACUCCGAUUGCGAAGGCAGCACACUAAGCCGUAACUGACGUUCAUGCUCGAAAGUGUGGGUAUCAAACAGGAUUAGAUACCCUGGUAGUCCACACGGUAAACGAUGGAUACUCGCUGUUGGCGAUAUACUGUCAGCGGCUUAGCGAA